RNAcentral lists this ribosomal RNA (254 nucleotides) under uncultured bacterium. Its description in RNAcentral is "partial 16S ribosomal RNA". It matches the Rfam family "Bacterial small subunit ribosomal RNA", at positions 524 to 776 of the family's 1533-position model. The record is from RNAcentral.
UACGUAGGGACCAAGCGUUGUUCGGAUUUACUGGGCGUAAAGGGCGCGUAGGCGGUCAGCACAAGUCAGUUGUGAAAUCUCCGAGCUUAACUCGGAAAGGUCAACUGAUACUGUGCGACUAGAGUGCGGAAGGGGCAACUGGAAUUCUUGGUGUAGCGGUGAAAUGCGUAGAUAUCAAGAGGAACACCUGCGGCGAAGGCGGGUUGCUGGGCCGACACUGACGCUGAGGCGCGAAAGCCAGGGGAGCAAACGGG